RNAcentral lists this unclassified non-coding RNA (337 nucleotides) under soil metagenome. Its description in RNAcentral is "partial contains 5.8S ribosomal RNA, internal transcribed spacer 2, and large subunit ribosomal RNA". The stretch from base 1 to 120 matches the Rfam family "5.8S ribosomal RNA", at positions 35 to 154 of the family's 154-position model. The record is from RNAcentral.
GAUGAAGAACGCAGCGAAAUGCGAUAAGUAGUGUGAAUUGCAGAAUUCAGUGAAUCAUCGAAUCUUUGAACGCACAUUGCGCCCCUUGGUAUUCCAUGGGGCAUGCCUGUUCGAGCGUCAUUUGUACCUUCAAGCUCUGCUUGGUGUUGGGUGUUUGUCUCGCCUCUGCGUGUAGACUCGCCUCAAAACAAUUGGCAGCCGGCGUAUUGAUUUCGGAGCGCAGUACAUCUCGCGCUUUGCACUCAUAACGACGACGUCCAAAAGUACAUUUUUACACUCUUGACCUCGGAUCAGGUAGGGAUACCCGCCGAACUUAAGCAUAUCAAUAAGCGGAGGA